GAAGCUUGCUUCUUUGCUGACGAGUGGCGGACGGGUGAGUAAUGUCUGGGAAACUGCCUGAUGGAGGGGGAUAACUACUGGAAACGGUAGCUAAUACCGCAUAACGUCGCAAGACCAAAGAGGGGGACCUUCGGGCCUCUUGCCAUCGGAUGUGCCCAGAUGGGAUUAGCUAGUAGGUGGGGUAACGGCUCACCUAGGCGACGAUCCCUAGCUGGUCUGAGAGGAUGACCAGCCACACUGGAACUGAGACACGGUCCAGACUCCUACGGGAGGCAGCAGUGGGGAAUAUUGCACAAUGGGCGCAAGCCUGAUGCAGCCAUGCCGCGUGUAUGAAGAAGGCCUUAGGGUUGUAAAGUACUUUCAGCGGGGAGGAAGGGAGUAAAGUUAAUACCUUUGCUCAUUGACGUUACCCGCAGAAGAAGCACCGGCUAACUCCGUGCCAGCAGCCGCGGUAAUACGGAGGGUGCAAGCGUUAAUCGGAAUUACUGGGCGUAAAGCGCACGCAGGCGGUUUGUUAAGUCAGAUGUGAAAUCCCCGGGCUCAACCUGGGAACUGCAUCUGAUACUGGCAAGCUUGAGUCUCGUAGAGGGGGGUAGAAUUCCAGGUGUAGCGGUGAAAUGCGUAGAGAUCUGGAGGAAUACCGGCGGCGAAGGCGGCCCCCUGGACGAAGACUGACGCUCAGGUGCGAAAGCGUGGGGAGCAACCAGG
Molecule: ribosomal RNA, 708 nt
Filed under: uncultured Pseudomonadota bacterium
Lineage: Bacteria; Pseudomonadati; Pseudomonadota
Description: bacterial SSU rRNA
Rfam family: Bacterial small subunit ribosomal RNA
Source: RNAcentral